GGCCAGUUAGCUCAGUUGGUUAGAGCAUGGUGCUCAGAACACCAAGGGCAAGGGUUCCAAUCCCCUUACCAGCCA
This is a non-coding RNA of Cynocephalus volans (Philippine flying lemur), 75 nucleotides long. The record is from the annotation of a RefSeq genome assembly. NCBI's taxonomy places the organism in Eukaryota, Metazoa, Chordata, Mammalia, Dermoptera, Cynocephalidae.